UACGUAGGGGGCUAGCGUUGUCCGGAAUCAUUGGGCGUAAAGCGCGUGUAGGCGGCCCGGUAAGUCCGCUGUGAAAGUCGGGGGCUCAACCCUCGAAUGCCGGUGGAUACUGUCGGGCUCGAGUGCGGAAGAGGCGAGUGGAAUUCCUGGUGUAGCGGUGAAAUGCGCAGAUAUCAGGAGGAACACCGAUUGCGAAGGCAGCUCGCUGGGACGUUACUGACGCUGAGACGUGAAAGCGUGGGGAGCAAACAGG
RNAcentral lists this ribosomal RNA (253 nucleotides) under uncultured bacterium. Its description in RNAcentral is "partial 16S ribosomal RNA". It matches the Rfam family "Bacterial small subunit ribosomal RNA", at positions 524 to 776 of the family's 1533-position model. The record is from RNAcentral.